Molecule: ribosomal RNA, 111 nt
Filed under: Ichthyobacterium seriolicida
Lineage: Bacteria; Pseudomonadati; Bacteroidota; Flavobacteriia; Flavobacteriales; Ichthyobacteriaceae
Source: RNAcentral
AAAUAGUGAUGUUAGCAUUGGUUCUCACCUCUUCCCAUUCCGAACAGAGAAGUUAAACCCAAUAGCGCAGAUGGUACUGAUAUUUUUCGGGAGAGUAUGUCGUCGCUAUUU